CUGGUAAGAUUCCUCUGGUAGUGUUGUCUGUGCUCUGUGACUUUACCACCACUGUUAAAUCUGAGAUCAACAUGUUUCAUAAAGGAAUAUACAACAUGGAUCACUAUCAAUACUGCUGCUGCUGUUGUCUUUCAUAUGGACAAUAUAGAGGAAUACUAUUAACACUGAUCUAAUGCUGGACUGUUCCUACACACUAGGAGAACACCUGAUACACAGAGGACAAAAUACUAAUCUGGAUUUAAGAUACAAUUCAUAUUUGUACUACCUAGAAAUGUUAUUAUGAAGUGUUUGUUCUACCUGGAAAAUGUUAAAGUGUAUUUAUGUUGAUUAUGAUUCUGUAUGCGUGAUCUUCAAUGUAACAGCUGCAGCAUCACAACACAGAGAGGUUUUUGUACCAGCAGUAACGGGGAUUGUAUCACUGUGGUUGACUUUUGGUGGUGGCACCAGACUUGAUGUUGGAAGUAACAGUGCCCCCACCCUCACCGUCCUGCCCCCCUCUAGUGAGGAGCUGUCCAGUACAACAACAGCCACACUGACAUGUCUGGCCAACAAGGGCUUCCCUUCAGACUGGACCAUGAGCUGGAAAGUGGACGGGACCAGCAAGAACCAGGAGACCAGUUCUAGGGUCCUGGAGAAGGACGGCCUGUACAGCUGGAGCAGCACCCUGACUCUCACUGGCCAGGAGUGGACCAAGGCAGGAGAGGUGACCUGUGAAGCCCAGCAGAAAUCCCAGACUCCAGUCACCAAGACCCUGAGGAAGGCUGACUGUUCUGGGUAGGAAGCCUCAGUCACACAUCCCUGUGGCGAGAAGCUGCUGGGUCCUCUGCUUUGACUCUGUUCUGAGAUCAGAUGUUCUCUGUCUGAAUUGAUCACUGACAUGUAGACUAACAGAGGGCUUUGCUUGAGUUCAUGUGUCAAUCCUCUCUGUAGACUGAGGUUGUAUCAGUGUUAGAUGUGAUGUGUUCUGUUUUUCUACUAUUAGAUACUGUAGGAAUGUUUGCUUUGAUGAUAAAUAUAUGAUAAUAAAAAUUUCCCUUUGGAACAAAUAUA
This is a non-coding RNA of Salvelinus fontinalis (brook trout), 1050 nucleotides long. The record is from the annotation of a RefSeq genome assembly. Lineage: Eukaryota; Metazoa; Chordata; Actinopteri; Salmoniformes; Salmonidae.